GUACAAUCGCAGUGCCGGAUUUCCCCCUGCAAUGCCGCGGCAUCCGUCACACGAAGGAUGUUUGCUGAGCACGUCCAGAAAGGCUCGUGUCAUCGUCUUCCACUCCCCGUGACCAACGUCCCGCUCUCUGCUUCCACGUAUGCCCCGGCCUACAGCAGCUGCGCCGUUUAAGUAUCUUCGGUGCUAUCGGAGCCAGCGUUGCGCUUGCGCCACCAGCCCACCGUGAGAAGAGGAUUAAAGGAGGCGCAGCGGUACCAGCACCUUAUUCUGGCAGUCGUUGUGGCAACAGAAACACACAUUGACCAACGUUCUUUGCAUCCGCAGUCUAGUCGGUGAACAUUGCCUACAAAUGCGGAGCUCGCCAGAAGAAUUCAUGACAUUGAAUCCAAGCUUGGAAAC
Non-coding RNA from Dermacentor albipictus, 399 nucleotides. NCBI's taxonomy places the organism in Eukaryota, Metazoa, Arthropoda, Arachnida, Ixodida, Ixodidae. The record is from RefSeq and is a predicted model, not a curated record.